UUGCGCAGGGCAUGCUUCAUGACCACCGCCGAGAAACUGAGGCCCUUCAGCCGCGCGGUGCGGAUAUAUUGCUGCGUCAUCACCUCCACCAUGGAGGCCCGCGUCAUGCGCGCGAUGUAGCCGAUGCCGUAAAUGGCCAGCGUCAUCACCGGCAGCGUGAAAUUGUAAAAGGUUAUGCCGCGGGA
This 185-nucleotide non-coding RNA is filed under the name Mesorhizobium sp. Root157. Lineage: Bacteria; Pseudomonadati; Pseudomonadota; Alphaproteobacteria; Hyphomicrobiales; Phyllobacteriaceae. The record is from Rfam by way of RNAcentral.